Molecule: long non-coding RNA, 1303 nt
Organism: Osmerus eperlanus (European smelt)
Lineage: Eukaryota; Metazoa; Chordata; Actinopteri; Osmeriformes; Osmeridae
Exons: 2
Source: RefSeq, a predicted model, not a curated record
GUACCCUGAAUCAAGGUUCUGUACAUAUCUGUCACCAGUGUUGCUUGUGUAUGGCCACUCCUUUUAAAAGGAUUCACACCUGGACAGCUAUAGUGACAAACUUGUUUCCAUACUUUUAUUUCAGUAAUGUGAACAUUGUGGCUAUCUUAACCAUUAAUUAACAAUUAACAAUAAUUCUGUAAAUCUGUAAAUAUGUUUUAUGUUGGUUUGUACUCUGAACAGGAUCCUGUGAAAUAUCCUAUUUUACAGUCCAGGAGUUACAAGGCGCUUUAUGGUGAUAACGCUGGUUUCGAUUCACGCUGGGAUUUAUUGGAAAGAAGUAAUUUAGAAAGAGUUUAUAACAUCUAAAAUCACCUGGUGCCAAAUGAUACGUAGACAUGCUUAGUUUAGUAUAUUAUCACAACAGAAGGAAUACAAACAAAAGCAUGUAAAAACCUCCUCAUGCUCGUGCCAAUGAACUCCAGAGCAAGCCAAAGGAUUGCUUUGAGAUUGUACAUUAAUAAUCCUUUAUAAAGGAAAUAAUUCUUCUGCCAUUCCACAGGAAAUCUCUGAGGUUAAUACCUGGUACAUAGUGGACUGUAAAGUGAAAUCACCAAAUCAUGUAUUUGAAGUAUUUUUAAGAGCGCCAAUGUCUUUUGUAUCUUGUCUGUUCUCUGGUGCAUUGAACAAACAGAAGGAUGUAUCUUCACUGGACACUGUGACACAGAAACCCAGCUCCAGGUUUCCCAUCUCCGCAUUUGCGAAACAAAUAUUUCUAUUUUCAGACAGUGAGACUUCUUGAGCUAUUUUGAAGUUGUUUGAGUCCCACGUACCUCUGUUUGACCCGGCGGGCCUGUAUUCCCGGCAGGAACCAGCCAGGUGACAUCUCAGUGUGAGCGGUUGCUGGACCAGCUUCAUACAGUCACAUUUAAACCACAUAACUGACUUUGCGAGGGCUGUCAGAUGACACACUGUGUUUAAUACUGCAGGGUCUGUGAAGCUGUGAGCACUUAGUGUUGUUUUAUAAUUGCUUUGUCAGCGACAUCAGAAUGUAGUCUUUGUUUCUCCGUCCAGUCCCCCUGGACCAGAGAGAGUAGGAAGGGAUCCAAACUGUUUCUUGGAACAAGAAAAUAAUAUGGUGUUGAGUUUCCAAUAGAAUAAACAAACAUAAAUAAUAUUCUUACUUUAGUUGGAUCUUCAGUUCUCUUUCUCUAUGCAGAUGUGUGAUUAAUCAUGUCGAGAUUAGAGGAAGUAGCCAUGUAUAUUUUUGAUAUGUCUUGUUUUCUGAUCUGUAAAGAAAUAAAACGGUUUAGUAUUAUGUGUA